RNAcentral lists this ribosomal RNA (399 nucleotides) under uncultured bacterium. RNAcentral's name for it is "bacterial SSU rRNA". It matches the Rfam family "Archaeal small subunit ribosomal RNA", at positions 339 to 741 of the family's 1478-position model. The record is from RNAcentral.
GCGCGAAAACUUUGCAAUGCGGGAAACCGUGACAAGGGAACUCUGAGUGCCCGUUAAAUCGGGCUGUCCAUCGGUUUAAAUAACCGGUGAAGAAAGGGCCGGGCAAGACCGGUGCCAGCCGCCGCGGUAAUACCGGCGGCUCGAGUGGUGGCCACUAUUACUGGGCUUAAAGCGUUCGUAGCUGGUUUGUUAAGUCUCUGGGGAAAUCUUCCGGCUUAACCGGAAGGCGUUUCAGGGAUACUGGCAGACUAGGGACCGGGAGAGGUGAGAGGUACUCCAGGGGUAGGAGUGAAAUCCUGUAAUCCUUGGGGGACCACCUGUGGCGAAGGCGUCUCACCGAGAACGGCUCCGACAGUGAGGGACGAAAGCUGGGGGAGCAAACCGGAUUAGAAACCCGAG